Molecule: unclassified non-coding RNA, 391 nt
Filed under: fungal sp.
Lineage: Eukaryota; Fungi
Description: partial internal transcribed spacer region
Source: RNAcentral
AAGUCGUAACAAGGUUUCCGUAGGUGAACUUAACACGUAUCCAACGUUAAACCCCCCUGUGAACCUUUAGAGUGCUCUUGCUAGCUAUACAGAAACAGCAAUCCUGGUAAAUCAGUGGCGAAAGUUCGUUUUUGAUUCAGGACUUCUGUCCAGGACCUGCAAUUGAGCCUAAGCAGUGGUCUGGAUUCCUGGCCGGGCGGACGAAAGUGUCGCUGGACGGUUUCUAGGGUAAGGUUAUCCAUCGCUGGAAGGUCCAUCACGGGCCGGCGGACAGACUGCAGGGCGCAAGCCCCCCUACCUGACGACCAAGUUAAAUCGGCCUUUAUCACAUAGCAAGUGCGCCGUGAUAAAGGAAAACGUACAACUGUUAACAAUGGAUAUCUUGGUUCUC